CCCUUAGAUGUUCUGGGCCGCACGCGCGUUACACUGAUGCAUUCAACGAGUCCUUCCUUGGCCGAGAGGCCUGGGCAAUCUUUUGAACGUGCAUCGUGAUAGGGAUAGAUUAUUGCAAUUAUUAAUCUUAAACGAGGAAUUCCUAGUAAACGCAGUUCAUCAAACUGCAUUGAUUACGUCCCUGCCCUUUGUACACACCGCCCGUCGCACCUACCGAUUGAAUGGUCCGGUGAAGCCUCGGGAUUGUGGCUGGUCUCCUUUAUUGGGGGUCGGUCGCGAGAACUUGUCUAAACCUUAUCAUUUAGAGGAAGGUGAAGUCGUAACA
Molecule: ribosomal RNA, 325 nt
Filed under: uncultured eukaryote
Lineage: Eukaryota
Description: partial 18S ribosomal RNA
Rfam family: Eukaryotic small subunit ribosomal RNA
Source: RNAcentral